AAAUKCGUAGAUAUCGGAAGGAACACCAGCGGCGAAGGCGGCAUUCUGGCCCUGUCCUGACGCUCAGGGGCGAAAGCGUGGGGAGCGAACCGGAUUAGAUACCCGGGUAGUCCACGCCGUAAACGAUGAGUACUAGGUGUUGGGGGUAUCGACCCCCUCAGUGCCGAAACUAACGCUAUAAGUACUCCGCCUGAGGACUACGGCCGCAAGGCUAAAACUCAAAGGAAUUGACGGGGGCCCGCACAAGCAGCGGAGCGUGUGGUUUAAUUCGAUGGUACGCGAAGAACCUUACCCGGAUUUGACAUGCAUGUAGUACUGAUGUGAAAGCAGAGGGACCUCGGGGAGCAAGCACAGGUGUUGCACGGCCGUCGUCAGCUCGUGCCGUGAGGUGUUGGGUUAAGUCUCGCAACGAGCGCAACCCCUGUCGUCAGUUGUAUUUUUCUGACGAGACUGCCGGGAAACCCCCGGAGGAAGGAGGGGAUGAUGUCAGGUCAGCGUGGCCCUUACGUCCGGGGCUACACACACGCUACAAUGGGUGGUCCAACGGGUCGCGAAACCGCGAGGUGGAGCUAAUCCCAUCAAAGCCAUCCUCAGUUCGGAUUGCAGGCUGAAACUCGCCUGCAUGAAGCCGGAGUUGCUAGUAACCGCAGGUCAGCACUACUGCGGUGAAUACGUUCCCGGGCCU
RNAcentral lists this ribosomal RNA (685 nucleotides) under uncultured bacterium. Its description in RNAcentral is "bacterial SSU rRNA". It matches the Rfam family "Bacterial small subunit ribosomal RNA", at positions 684 to 1381 of the family's 1533-position model. The record is from RNAcentral.